Molecule: ribosomal RNA, 596 nt
Filed under: uncultured Fusarium
Lineage: Eukaryota; Fungi; Ascomycota; Sordariomycetes; Hypocreales; Nectriaceae
Description: eukaryotic LSU rRNA
Rfam family: 5.8S ribosomal RNA (bases 217-370)
Source: RNAcentral
CUUGGUCAUUUAGAGGAAGUAAAAGUCGUAACAAGGUCUCCGUUGGUGAACCAGCGGAGGGAUCAUUACCGAGUUUACAACUCCCAAACCCCUGUGAACAUACCACUUGUUGCCUCGGCGGAUCAGCCCGCUCCCGGUAAAACGGGACGGCCCGCCAGAGGACCCCUAAACUCUGUUUCUAUAUGUAACUUCUGAGUAAAACCAUAAAUAAAUCAAAACUUUCAACAACGGAUCUCUUGGUUCUGGCAUCGAUGAAGAACGCAGCAAAAUGCGAUAAGUAAUGUGAAUUGCAGAAUUCAGUGAAUCAUCGAAUCUUUGAACGCACAUUGCGCCCGCCAGUAUUCUGGCGGGCAUGCCUGUUCGAGCGUCAUUUCAACCCUCAAGCCCUCGGGUUUGGUGUUGGGGAUCGGCGAGCCCUUGCGGCAAGCCGGCCCCGAAAUCUAGUGGCGGUCUCGCUGCAGCCUCCAUUGCGUAGUAGUAAAACCCUCGCAACUGGAACGCGGCGCGGCCAAGCCGUUAAACCCCCAACCUCUGAAUGUUGACCUCGGAUCAGGUAGGAAUACCCGCUGAACUUAAGCAUAUCAAUAAGCGGAGGA